AGUUCCCUUCGGGGAGCGAGUAGAGUGGCGCACGGGUGAGUAACACGUAGGUAAUUUGCCUUCGGGUGGGGAAUAACUCAGGGAAACUUGAGCUAAUACCGCAUAAUGCAGCGGCUCGACAUCGAGACAGUUGUUAAAGCGGGGGAUCUCGCAAGAGACCUCGCGCCUGAAGAGGAGCCUGCGGCAGAUUAGCUAGUUGGUAAGGUAAUGGCUUACCAAGGCGACGAUCUGUAACCGGCCUGAGAGGGCGGUCGGUCACACUGACACUGACAUACGGGUCAGACUCCUACGGGAGGCAGCAGUCGGGAAUUUUGGGCAAUGGGCGAAAGCCUGACCCAGCAACGCCGCGUGAAGGAUGAAAUUUUUCGGAAUGUAAACUUCGCAAGAACGGGAAGAAUAAGUAGAAGUGAAUACCUUCUAUGAUGACGGUACCGUUUGUAAGCUCCGGCUAACUCCGUGCCAGCAGCCGCGGUAAUACGGGGGGAGCAAGCGUUGUUCGGAUUUACUGGGCGUAAAGGGCGCGUAGGCGGCGUGACAAGUCACUUGUGAAAUCUCCGGGCUUAACUCGGAACGGUCAAGUGAUACUGUCGUGCUAGAGUACAGAAGGGGCAACUGGAAUUCUCGGUGUAGCGGUGAAAUGCGUAGAUAUCGAGAGGAACACCUGCGGCGAAGGCGGGUUGCUGGGCUGAUACUGACGCUGA
RNAcentral lists this ribosomal RNA (701 nucleotides) under uncultured Acidobacteriota bacterium. Its description in RNAcentral is "bacterial SSU rRNA". It matches the Rfam family "Bacterial small subunit ribosomal RNA", at positions 72 to 749 of the family's 1533-position model. Lineage: Bacteria; Pseudomonadati; Acidobacteriota. The record is from RNAcentral.